Molecule: long non-coding RNA, 997 nt
Filed under: Pan troglodytes (chimpanzee)
Lineage: Eukaryota; Metazoa; Chordata; Mammalia; Primates; Hominidae
Description: long non-coding RNA NONPTRT015393
Source: RNAcentral
CACACCGGCUUGCAGCCUCAGUGAUGCUCAUCUAGUGCGGGUCCUGCGUGGUCCCCAGAGGAACCCAGUGAGAAAUCCGGAGGAGACGGACAGAGAGGAGGCUGACAGUUCCUUUUGUAUUACAACGUCAUGAUUACAAAUAAUCAUAAUAGAGUGCCCAUUUUAAAGUGGCCUUUCCCUCCAAGCACACAGGAGACUCCCUCAGAUUCCCUAGGAGACCAAAGAAAUACUGAAUCUACUCCACAAAAGGUACUUGGUUGGCUGCUUCCCCAGGAACAUCCCUCCAUCCUCACGGGUGUCCCGCCAUGGACCUCGGGGAGCCCUGGACAAACAUGCAUGUGUGCGACGCUUGUAACAAACCUGCAAGGUAGACCUCAUACAGCCCAUUUUUGGAAGAGGGAGUUGAGUUUUAGAGCAUUUACAUAAUUUGCCCAAGGUCACAAGACAGCUACUCAGUGGUAGAAAGAUACUUCAAACGCAGUUCUGCUGGGCUCCCACUCCUGCACUAGAACCAUUAUGCGGCAGUAUCUAUCAUCGUGUCCUCGCAGUGACCUCCGAAGAGAGGCUGUACUGCAGGCGAGGAAAGACAAAGUGACUCGCUCCAGGCUGUCCAGCUCCCGAGUGACCGGCUCAGCCUUCCCACCCAGCUCCCCUACCCUGGCGUCCAAGAUCUCAUUCCUUGCCUCCCUCUUAACUGACUUGAACACCUGAAUGGUGUCUUCGAGUAAAUGUAACAGUCAUAAGAGGACAAACAAAAACCCUUGCCUAAUACUCAGUCCCCAGUAUUUCCCGCUUUUCAUCAUUCCAUUCCUUUAGCUGUCUUAGAAAGGCGGUUUCAGUGUAUAAAUGUAGCAGGUGGAAGAAGCUGUUGUCUUGCUCAGAGGCCGGAAAGCUGCUGACAUUUCCUCCUUCUCUGUUGAGUUAAUCAGAAAUUAUUUGGCAGGAGACCUGGGUAUUUUAGAAGGCAGCCUUGGGUGGGCUGACCAUCGGAAAAAGC